This is a long non-coding RNA of Aegilops tauschii subsp. strangulata, 347 nucleotides long. RefSeq lists it as uncharacterized. NCBI's taxonomy places the organism in Eukaryota, Viridiplantae, Streptophyta, Magnoliopsida, Poales, Poaceae. The record is from RefSeq and is a predicted model, not a curated record.
GCGGCCAUUCAUCAUUUCUCGUGGCAGCUGGGUUUGCGACGGAUCGCCAUGGAUGGGGUGGAGUUCUUCUUCGAGGAAGCCGAAUCAGGAUUGGUUCCCAGGGUGGAUGCCAGUGAUCUUUUAGGGGGAGAUAUCGCUACUGUGGAAUCGGUCGUUGCUUCAACCCAAGCAAGAUUUUCAAGAUUGAUUUCCAGUACUGCUUGUGCUUGAAAUUCAGUUUGCUAGCUGAAUAAUCAGUUGUUGUCAAAUGGAAGAUUUUCAGAACUGCUUGUGCUUGCGUAGUUGUGAGCUUGUUUCUAUGUUUGUGUCGCUCGUUCAUCACUUGUUUAAAAAAACCGUGUAAUGCA